CAGGGAUUGCCCCAGUAACGGCGAGUGAAGCGGCAAGAGCUCAAAUUUUAAAUCUGGGGUCUCCGGCCCCCGAGUUGUAAUUUGGAGAGGCAUCUUCGGGAGGAGCGCUGGCCAAUGUUCCUUGGAACAGGACGUCGCAGAGGGUGAGAAUCCCGUGCCAGGCCAGCCGCGCCCUUCCACGUGAAGCGCCUUCGACGAGUCGAGUUGUUUGGGAAUGCAGCUCCAAGUGGGUGGUAAAUUUCAUCUAAAGCUAAAUACCGGCGAGAGACCGAUAGCGCACAAGUAGAGUGAUCGAAAGAUGAAAAGCACUUUGAAAAUAGAGUCAAAAAGUACGUGAAAUUGUUGAAAGGGAAGCGCUUGAGACCAGACUCGGAGCGAGGCAAACAUCUGGCCCCGCGGGGCCGUGCACUUGCCUCGGGCCGGGCCAGCAUCAGUUGGUGCGGCGGGAGAAAGGCGCGGGGAAUGUGGCUCCCCUCGGGGAGUGUUAUUAGCCCCGUGCUCAAUGCCGCCCGCACCGACUGAGGACCGCGCUUCGGCUAGGAUGCUGGCUUAAUGGCCUUCAGCGACCCGUCUUGAAACACGGACCAAGGAGUCUAACAUCUAUGCGAGUGUUUGGGUGCCAAACCCUUUCGCGGAAUGAAAGUGAACGGAGGUGGGAACCCCUCGCCGGGCGCACCAUCGACCGAUCCUGAUGUCUUCGGAUGGAUUUGAGUAGGAGCAUAGCUGUUGGGACCCGAAAGAUGGUGAACUAUGCCUGAAUAGGGUGAAGCCAGAGGAAACUCUGGUGGAGGCUCGCAGCGGUUCUGACGUGCAAAUCGAUCGUCAAAUUUGGGUAUAGGGGCGAAAGACUAAUCGAACCAUCUAGUAGCUGGUUCCUGCCG
This 881-nucleotide ribosomal RNA is filed under the name Dissingia confusa. RNAcentral describes it as "partial large subunit ribosomal RNA". It matches the Rfam family "Eukaryotic large subunit ribosomal RNA", at positions 69 to 963 of the family's 3401-position model. The record is from RNAcentral. Lineage: Eukaryota; Fungi; Ascomycota; Pezizomycetes; Pezizales; Helvellaceae.